This 100-nucleotide transfer RNA is filed under the name Streptomyces virginiae. Its description in RNAcentral is "tRNA-Ser". Lineage: Bacteria; Bacillati; Actinomycetota; Actinomycetes; Kitasatosporales; Streptomycetaceae. The record is from RNAcentral.
GGAGCGCAGGUCAGAUGGCAUAUCAGUUCUCCUGUGGUGCCGGUCUUGAAAACCGUCGUGGCGCGAGUCACCGUGGGUUCAAAUCCCACACCCACCGCCA